UAGCUGGAGAGGAACAAAAAGAGUUAACUUGUCGACAAUUAUUUAAAAGAGAGAUAAAAAAAGAAAAAGUUUGAAGAAAAGAGCGUGCAAUGUCAAAAAUCAUCAAAGCAGCAGCACCUGUGCGCUGUAGUUUGCGUUCAUCCCUCAAAAGUUGUGGAUCUUCCACUCUCUUGUGCGGGCCAAAUCUGGGAUGUUUUGGAUUUUUGACAUGCCAGGGAGGGAGGAACAAGUGGGAGAUGGACAGGUGGAAAGCACUUGCUGCAGAGUAAACACAGAUUUCUUGCUCUGAGAGUUUAACCAGCCUCUACACAAGGAAAAAUGCAAUAACUGGAAAUUCGCGUAAAGUUGACAGAGAGCCUGUUCGACUUUCUCCUGACGGGUGCACGCAAUACAAAACAGAGUCAACGUUUGUCGCGCAGCUUGAUGACUCCUGUUCUAAAAAUCGCUCAAACACGAGCCUGCAAAAAAAAGCACAAAAAUGAGACCCCGUAAGUGAGUUUUAAAAGUGUACCUGAAGUUGGAAAACAUUUAUGUAAACUUUAAAAAGCAUUGCUUUAUCUAGAUUUUUUAUUAUUAUUAUUAUUUUUUUUUUAAAGGUGAGAAAACAAUUUAAGCUAUGUCCUUGCGCUCAGCUCCCAGCUUUAAUUAUAGAUAAAGGAGGUCAGCCAGGAGCGGUUACCCGACCCCUCUCCCUGUGUGGCACCGCGCCCUUUGCAGUCAAACUCGCCAAAAUAGUGCCGGACUCCCCCGAAAGUGCCAUGUGCGCCCAAGUUCCUUUCUCCCCUUCCCUCCCACGCUGCCGCACCUGAGUUGUUUUUACCCCCCACAUCGCGGAUAUGUUGUGAAUUUGUCACUUAUCGGGAGCACGGGCUCGUCAGCACCGCAGCACUAACUUUCAGCCAUGCCAACUCUGAACGUUUCUCAGCUGAGAGGCGCAAAGCACGUCUGCCCACACACACAGAGACUAAUCAGUACAUGGCAAACACUGACCUUUGUGGGUGAAGCUGCAAGCUUUAACUAGGUCAUUAAGUGUCCAUUGAUUUACAUUAUUCAAAAUGACAGCACAUAGACUUAUUGUGUAAGAUUUACAAAUAUUUAGAAUGUGCUCAGUUCUGACUUAUAACUAAUGCUAAAUAUGUAUUUUACUGGGACUCAUUUUGGGAUAACCAACAUAAGGUACUAAUGCAAGGAAUGGAAAUGACAGAAAAUAUUUAAAUAGAAAUCUGUAGUGUGGUGUGAAUUUAUGUCCAACCCCUAUAUUCUCGUUCCCCACAAAUAAAAUCCUAAAAACAGCUUGUCCUAAAAAUCCACCUUAUCAAACGGAGUCCGCCUGUCAUUGAGUUCAUGUCAGUAUACCUACUGCUGGUCCCUUACGACCUUGGAGGUUCAUUAGACAGGCACUCGGAUCCAAAACUUUUUUUUUUUUUUCUGCCAACGUACGAAACUUUAGUCCUGGUCUAAAAUACCCAGAACACUGUCAUCAUGACUAAACACAGUAGUGGCAGCAUUAUAAUGUGGGGAUGCUUUUCUUUUGCAGUCAGUCCAAAAAUACUGGAAGAAAUCAAUCCUGCCAGAGGCUGCAAAAGACUGCAGAAUAAACAUGUAGCCAGACCAAAGCAUGUUCAAGAGUUAGAAUGGUCCAGUCAAAGUCCUGACUAAAAUUUGAUUUCGAAUAUGUAAGGCUCAGAUAUUGUUGUUAUCAAAUGCUUCUCUGUCUAGAUUGACUGAGCUUGAGCUAUUUGGGCAACAAUUCCAGUGUCUAAAAGAUAUCCUAAAAAAUAACAGCAGCUGUAGUUACAGGAAAAGCAGUUCGACAAGGUGUUGGGAACUUAACAUAAAUGUAUGGAUGUAACACUUCUCAAGAUAUUUGAAAACCAAAAAAAAAAAAAAGAAAAAAUCAAAAAUCAUGCAUCCUUUUAAUUUCUUUUUGCAAUUGUCCUCUACUUUGUGUUGGUCUAGCACGUUAAAUUCCAAUAAAAAAACAACUUGUAUCUCUUUUGUUCUUUGCUUUCUGAUUUCCUCUCAAGUAAAUUUUGAGCUUGUCGACCCGUGUUCUACUUUCAGCCUUUCUAUCGUUGAGUUCCUAAAAUUGGUCGACUUCGAGACAGAUAGUGGAAUGGAUCUUGAUUUAUCCCAUUAAUUUUCAACGUCAUUGGCCUGGCUGAUAUCGCAGAGUCCGAUCUGUGUGCUGUGAGGUGCUCUAGAAGGAAGAGGAGGAAAGCAACAUGGAGGUGGCUGAGCUUGCUGACUGAAUUGAUAAAUCCUCCACUCCACCGUGAUGAUCACGACGAUGGCUGUUUAUCCUUUUAAAGUUGAUGCUGUAUCAGUGUUUUUUUUUGUUUGUUUAUUUUUGGAUAAUUUACCAUGGAGCAAAGCAGGAAAAGUGGGAAUAAUGGCCUCUAAACAUGCUUUAAUGGAAAAGAGGUGUGAACGUAUCAUUUACCCUGCAGACAGAGGUACACAGAGAAGCCAAAGAGUAGCCUGAGACUGCCAUUUGAAUGGGAUCCGAGACGUAAUUUGAUCUAAAAUGGAGUCCAGUCAUUCACCCUCCUCCCUCUCUCCCAUGGCAUCAACUGUAAUUCAUUAUUCCUGGCCGGCACAGGCAAUGAGCGAGGGCAAAGGACAGGAGUGGACUCUGCUCUGGUGUAAUGAAGACUCAGUAGACCUAAACGGCCCCCUUCCUCACUUUCCUCCCCUCUCUCCCUCCAUCACUUAUACAUACACGCAAUCUUUCAUUAUCUAUCAGAGGGAGCAGCACAUUAAUGCUGCCGAAGACCUUUUGGUGGAGAAAUAAGAGUGUGCAAGGAUUUUCUCCACUCUCAAUCUAUUUCAUUGACCUUUUCCAUCAUGCAUGUAACUCGGCUUGCUCGCUGCAGCGCCAGUUAAAUAUUCCAACAAUAAUAUUCCUGCUGCCACUUAAUAAUGCAUCUUUUUCAAAUGCAAAAAUGUAUGUCCAUCAGACUUUAAGGAAAUUAUAUAUAAAUCUUUUAAGUUAUCAAUGUGCUUUCUUCACUCGGACAUGCAAUUUUAACACUUUAGAGCUUAUUUUCUCAGAUUACAGAAGAGCACUCAUUUUAUGAUUUAUAAAGACAAAGAACACUUGCAUUAUCAAAAAAAAAAAAAAUGUUGAAGAACUGCUGGUUUGAGAAAGCUUUUUAAGACAUUUCAGUUCCUUGUCCCUCCACUAGGGGUCCACAUAUGUCUUGUCCAGACUGGCUGAGAGGAAAAAUACUGUCAUCUGGUGGUAACAGGAAAGACAAUUUCUUCACUUUAUUUGGAGGAAAAACUUCCUUAUAUGUAGUUUGUGCUUUAUUGCAAAAACAUCUUUAGAUGUAUUUUGAGAAGUUCUCAAAAGCACGGUGGGUUAAAAGAAAAAUUGUAGAGUGGAAGGUUUUCAAGAAAAGGUCACAAAUAUGACUAAAGCUGAUUUAAAGCAUUUUUUAAAUUAACUUACUUUUUAAAACUUACUUGAAGUGACUUAGAAUGCACACUUAAUAAUGUGUGAGUUGUAAGAGUUGAGUUGUUUUCCACAUCUUUUAUAUAUGUUUAGAUAAAACAUGUUUUAUAUAAAUAUGAAAGUAUGCCUACGGAGUUUAGUACACACGUUCUGGAUACUUAGUUUUUACUUUACCCCAAACUAGAUGUGACACAAGGGAGAGAAAAAAAAAAAUUAAGCUGGGGA
Molecule: long non-coding RNA, 3682 nt
Organism: Poecilia latipinna (sailfin molly)
Lineage: Eukaryota; Metazoa; Chordata; Actinopteri; Cyprinodontiformes; Poeciliidae
Exons: 2
Source: RefSeq, a predicted model, not a curated record